GCGGACGUGGCUCAGUUGGUAGAGCAUCACCUUGCCAAGGUGAGGGUCGCGGGUUCGAGUCCCGUCGUCCGCUC
RNAcentral lists this transfer RNA (74 nucleotides) under Cutibacterium acnes. RNAcentral's name for it is "tRNA-Gly". It matches the Rfam family "tRNA". From Rfam's summary of the family: Transfer RNA (tRNA) molecules are approximately 80 nucleotides in length. Lineage: Bacteria; Bacillati; Actinomycetota; Actinomycetes; Propionibacteriales; Propionibacteriaceae. RNAcentral also lists the same sequence under 23 other names. The record is from RNAcentral.